Long non-coding RNA from Aegilops tauschii subsp. strangulata, 1733 nucleotides. RefSeq lists it as uncharacterized. The record is from RefSeq and is a predicted model, not a curated record. NCBI's taxonomy places the organism in Eukaryota, Viridiplantae, Streptophyta, Magnoliopsida, Poales, Poaceae.
CCGUUUGUCGUUCCUGGGUGUAGCACUCUCUUCCCCUAAGAACACCAUUAUCGCCUUGCGUGUUGAAGUGAGCGGGUCCUGGCGGCGGCGCUCGCUGUGAACCGGCGGCAACGGGACGGGCCUGGGGGCGUUCGCCAUUACCUUCUUUUUUCAUGUUCCUGCUGCUAGAUGAGUCGCCGACAGCCUCGACCUCCCAGAUCCGGUUCCUCUGGUGUUGUUGCCGACAAGCGAGGCCAACCGUACCGAACCUGGAUACUCAAAUGCUGGGUCUGGUUGCGGUCAGCGAGUCGGCGGCGAUGACCUUGACAAAGGACGAGGUGGAGUUCGCCGGCGUGCGGAUGCAUCUCCGGUCGGUGCAGUCUACCGACAGAGUCCACCCAGAGGCCCCCGGGUGAACAAAAAGAUUAUGGCUGGGAAGUGCACCUCCAGACCGGACACCGUGCCCAUCGCGGAUGAGUGCUGAGGAGCAGUCAAUUCGCAAGUAUGCAGAGGAGCCUACAAAGAGUGUUAUACAUCCGGCACUUGGUUUCAGUUUUGAUUCACUUGGUGAGGUGUAUGACUUCUACAAUUUGUAUUCCUGGGAGACCAGCUUUGGAAUUAGAGAUAUGGUAAGAGCAGACUCAAUGCCAAGAGGACAAAGUGCAUGCAGGAGAUAGUCAGCGGUUGCUCGGUUGAUUUUCUCUUUGUUCUGGAUAGCAUUCCUUGAAUAUCUAAGUUGCGAGCAGAUGUUUCUGGAAGUAUCUGUUUAUCACUCUUUUUGUACCUUUUUAGAGUUGGGAGAAGACAGUGGAUUGCUACAGUCCUGGUCAGGGGUUGAUGCCUGCUAGUUUUAAAGUCAAGAUCCGUGCCUUUAGAUGGAAACUAUGAAGCAUUUGAGGAGAUUAUUGACCCUGAUUUUGGAGAAUCAGCCAUUGAGCGGGUAGCACCUGUCGACUCUGGGAUUUGGUGGAUAAUUCUCCUGAGGGCAUAUGGUAACAUUACCGGAGACUAUGCACUACAAGAAAGGGUUGAUGCGCAGACAGGCAUCAGACUAAUCCUGAAUUUAUGCUUGUCUGAUGGAUUUGACAGUUCCCUGCGUUGUUGGUCACCGACGGAUCAUGCAUGAUUGGUUGGAGGAUGGGAAUCCAUGGACAUCCUCUUGAGAUCCAGGAGGAGAGGCUUUCUUGCUUGGUGCUCUCUUCCUCUUUGGAGAAGGCUGACGCGCCCGAGAUCGAUAUGGCAGACUCGCGCUUAUGGGCUCCGUCUCGGGGUGGGAUCGAGUCGGCUGACGCGGUGGCGGACUAGCGCCGCGCUCCGUCUCGGGCAGGGUUGGAGUCAGCUGACGCGGCGGACUUGGAGGAGGAGUUGGUGGCCUUGGAAAGACGAUGCAAUCCUUUCUCCAUAGAAUCAUACGACGUAUGGCGUCUCCCAGUGUGCGCUCCAGGAAUAUCAAACUCUAGCUCGUCAUAUCCCGACAUCACUUCAUCCACCCCGACACAAGCAUAGCCAGAUGGAAUCAGAUUGCCAUGGAAGGUUGCUUCAGGGGGAUUUGGUAAAGCAUAGCCGCCCAACACCUUCAUGGAUAUGUUCUUCACUUUCAUGUGUAGCUCACAAGGUGUCGUACCUUUGAUAUCAUCCACGGGGUAUCUAGCCAGCAGUGCAUCAUUAGCCGGGGUGGAACCGAUGCUUCCUUUCGGCAUAGAUGGACGGUGCUAUCCAAUGCUGGAUCUGCUUGCUGCUACCGCUGAGACGCC